RNAcentral lists this ribosomal RNA (468 nucleotides) under uncultured bacterium. RNAcentral's name for it is "partial 16S ribosomal RNA". It matches the Rfam family "Bacterial small subunit ribosomal RNA", at positions 28 to 507 of the family's 1533-position model. The record is from RNAcentral.
GACGAACGCUGGCGGCGUGCUUAACACAUGCAAGUCGAACGGAAAGGCCCUGCUCUUGUGGGGUGCUCGAGUGGCGAACGGGUGAGUAACACGUGAGUAACCUGCCCUUGACUUUGGGAUAACUUCAGGAGACUGGGGCGAAUACCGGAUAGGAGCUCCUGCUGCACGGGGGGGGUUGGAAAGAUUCGGCGGUUGGGGAUGGACUCGCGGCUUAUCAGCUUGUUGGUGGGGUAGUGGCUUACCAAGGCUUCGACGGGUAGCCGGCCUGGGAGGGGGACCGGCGUCAAUGGGACUGAGAUAGGGCCCAGAAUGCUACGGGAGGCAGCAGUGGAGAAUAUUACACAGUAGGCGGGAGCCUGAUGCAGCGACGCCGCGUGCGGAAUGACGGGCUACGGGUUGUAAACCGAUUUGGCAGGUGCCGAAGCGUGCGUGACGGUAAUGGGUAAAGAAGCACCGGCUAACUACGUG